This 233-nucleotide long non-coding RNA is filed under the name Elaeis guineensis (African oil palm). Its description in RNAcentral is "long non-coding RNA (EGUI_LNC039382)". Lineage: Eukaryota; Viridiplantae; Streptophyta; Magnoliopsida; Arecales; Arecaceae. The record is from RNAcentral.
UUCAAAAUUUCUUUAGUAGUGACCAGUAUGUUGACCAGUUCAGAUAUGGUGCAAUCAAGUUUGUUCAUAUAAAAAUUUAAAAUAAAUUGACUAUAUAAACUCGUAAGGGAUUCAAAGAUUAAAUCCAUCUAUAAUUCCUUUCAUAUAUUAAGCCCAAACUUCUAAAGCUCUUCAAUGUCUUUGAUCACUGUCAAAUAGUGUUCAUGGACUAACUGCCCUUCAUGUAUCUUUAG